RNAcentral lists this non-coding RNA (29 nucleotides) under Mus musculus (house mouse). The record is from RNAcentral. Lineage: Eukaryota; Metazoa; Chordata; Mammalia; Rodentia; Muridae.
UGACACCAUUGUGUAGAUUUGACACUGAU